AAACUUAAAGGAAUUGACGGGGAGCACCACAACGGGUGGAGCUUGCGGUUUAAUUGGAUUCAACGCCGGAAAUCUUACCGGGACCGACAGCAAUAUGAAGGCCAGGCUGAAGACUUUGCCGGAUUAGCUGAGAGGUGGUGCAUGGCCGUCGUCAGUUCGUACUGUGAAGCAUCCUGUUAAGUCAGGCAACGAGCGAGACCCACGCCCACAGUUGCCAGCGUACUCUCUGGAGUGACGGGUACACUGUGGGGACCGCCGCUGCUAAAGCGGAGGAAGGAAUGGGCAACGGUAGGUCAGUAUGCCCCGAAUAUCCCGGGCUACACGCGAGCUACAAUGGUUGGUACAAUGGGUAUCUACCCCGAAAGGGGACGGGAAUCUCCUAAAACCAAUCUUAGUUCGGAUUGAGGGCUGCAACUCGCCCUCAUGAAGCUGGAAUCCGUAGUAAUCGCGUUUCAACAGAACGCGGUGAAUACGUCCCUGCUCCUU
Molecule: ribosomal RNA, 486 nt
Filed under: uncultured Methanosaeta sp.
Lineage: Archaea; Methanobacteriati; Methanobacteriota; Methanomicrobia; Methanotrichales; Methanotrichaceae
Description: bacterial SSU rRNA
Rfam family: Archaeal small subunit ribosomal RNA
Source: RNAcentral